RNAcentral lists this ribosomal RNA (509 nucleotides) under uncultured Glomus. Its description in RNAcentral is "SSU rRNA". It matches the Rfam family "Eukaryotic small subunit ribosomal RNA", at positions 569 to 1078 of the family's 1831-position model. Lineage: Eukaryota; Fungi; Glomeromycota; Glomeromycetes; Glomerales; Glomeraceae. The record is from RNAcentral.
AGCAGCCGCGGUAAUUCCAGCUCCAAUAGCGUAUAUUAAAGUUGUUGCAGUUAAAAAAGCUCGUAGUUGAAUUUCGGGGUUAGUAGGUUGGUCAUGCCUCUGGUAUGUACUGGUCUCACUGAUUCCUCCUUCCUGAUGAACCUUAAUGCCAUUAAUUUGGUGUUUUGGGGAAUUUGGACUGUUACUUUGAAAAAAUUAGAGUGUUUAAAGCAAGCUAACGCUUGAAUACAUUAGCAUGGAAUAAUGAAAUAGGACGUUCGAUCCUAUUUUGUUGGUUUCUAGGAUUGACGUAAUGAUUAAUAGGGAUAGUUGGGGGCAUUAGUAUUCAAUUGUCAGAGGUGAAAUUCUUGGAUUUAUUGAAGACUAACUACUGCGAAAGCAUUUGCCAAGGAUGUUUUCAUUAAUCAAGAACGAAAGUUAGGGGAUCGAAGACGAUCAGAUACCGUCGUAGUCUUAACCAUAAACUAUGCCGACUAGGGAUCGGAUGAUGUUAAUUUUUUAAUGACUCA